This 301-nucleotide ribosomal RNA is filed under the name uncultured bacterium. RNAcentral's name for it is "partial 16S ribosomal RNA". It matches the Rfam family "Bacterial small subunit ribosomal RNA", at positions 509 to 809 of the family's 1533-position model. The record is from RNAcentral.
CAGUCGCCGCGGUAAUACAGAGGGUGCGAGCGUUAAUCGGAUUUACUGGGCGUAAAGCGUGCGUAGGCGGCUUUUUAAGUCGGAUGUGAAAUCCCUGAGCUUAACUUAGGAAUUGCAUUCGAUACUGGGAAGCUAGAGUAUGGGAGAGGAUGGUAGAAUUCCAGGUGUAGCGGUGAAAUGCGUAGAGAUCUGGAGGAAUACCGAUGGCGAAGGCAGCCAUCUGGCCUAAUACUGACGCUGAGGUACGAAAGCAUGGGGAGCAAACAGGAUUAGAUACCCCUGUAGUCCCUGUCUCUUAUAA